RNAcentral lists this long non-coding RNA (306 nucleotides) under Anser brachyrhynchus (Pink-footed goose). RNAcentral describes it as "lncRNA (ENSABRG00000003255.1)". The record is from RNAcentral. Lineage: Eukaryota; Metazoa; Chordata; Aves; Anseriformes; Anatidae.
CGAGAGGAUGCUGCUGGGGAAUCUCUGCUGCAGCGCUGGACUUCACUGGAAGGGCUUGCUGGGAACGUCGAAACUUUCCGAACAUGCACGACUUUCUCUUCUCAACGUUCAAGUCCACCCACUCAUCGAGUGGGAGCCUCAUAACACAGGUACAGAGAUGUGAAGCUUUUGAUAGAGAACAUGCACUGCUGGUGGCAAAGUGAUGGACUGGACUGGACUAAGAUCCUGCACUAAGGAUUCCUCCCUGCCAUUCUCAGAAAUAAUUUGAAGUUAUCAGCACAGCCUCUGCUUACCGAGCAACAGGAA